Non-coding RNA from Aegilops tauschii subsp. strangulata, 934 nucleotides. The record is from RefSeq and is a predicted model, not a curated record. Lineage: Eukaryota; Viridiplantae; Streptophyta; Magnoliopsida; Poales; Poaceae.
UCCAUGUGCAAAUCAUCUGGCACCAAGCGGACGGAGCUGUACGAGUUGGGGCCACCAGCUGGCUGACAGCGCACACAUGGGCGAGCAUGAGCAACAUGGAGCUAGGGAGUAAGCUGGGAGCGGAUGGACGGGGCGUGAGGUAGAACGGGGGUGGGGAGCGGGCAGACCGUGGACAGAAGAGAACAACACCGGAAACAUCCUUUCUAAAGUUUUCUUGGGGCUGUACUGACGAACAACUUGUUCAGUGAUACCAACCCCUUCGAGCUCCCUCAACCCUUCGACAACACUUAUUCAGUUUCUCACCACAAGUAGUAAGAGACAUGAUCAGAUCACUAACCAGUGAUGAAGGCGUUAUGUGGUCGUUGACGUCAUGCUAAAUGUUGGUGUAGUGCCAAAUAAGAAGAUACGGAACAAAAUCCCUAAGCUAGACAUUAUGCGUGGAUGUAGGUGGAUGUGGGCGCUGUGGCCGCCACCAAGGAUGUAGGGGUCGCGCCCCAAGCUGCAAGUACGUGGUAGGGCGUCAAAACUGACGAGGACACGGGAGCCGCACUGCAGCAUGAGUGUUUUUCAUAAUUUAUUUAGUGGUGAAAUUUUCAGGCCUAUGAACUGGAUGAUAUUUUCAUUGCUGGCAAUCUUCAUCAACCUACCUACGAGGACAUUGAUAUACUAAUUGCUGCACAAGUGUUCUCAGCACCGGCUAGCAAGAAGAGAGUAUGAUUGUUCAAUGCUCACUGUUGUAAGCUUGUUUCACGAGGAGCUUCUCAGUGUUGUACAUGUAGGGUGUUGAUAAUAUAAAUAAAAUCUAUUUGUUCAUUCUUCUACUGUACCUCCGAUUCGUCCCCCACGGUUCAGUAGAGUACAGUUAUGUGCUAAAGUAUUAGGAAGUCAUCAUCUUCUAAAACAUAUUGUUACCUACUCAACCCAGUAAGCAAAU